UGGGUUUCAAAUGUACAUCUAAAAUAAAGAA
Molecule: non-coding RNA, 31 nt
Filed under: Rattus norvegicus (Norway rat)
Lineage: Eukaryota; Metazoa; Chordata; Mammalia; Rodentia; Muridae
Source: RNAcentral